GCAGCCUGAUGCAGCCAUGCCGCGUGUGUGAAGAAGGCCUUCGGGUUGUAAAGCACUUUCAGUCAGGAGGAAAGGCUAGUAGUUAAUAGCUGCUAGCUGUGACGUUACUGACAGAAGAAGCACCGGCUAACUCCGUGCCAGCAGCCGCGGUAAUACGGAGGGUGCGAGCGUUAAUCGGAAUUACUGGGCGUAAAGCGUACGCAGGCGGUUUGUUAAGCGAGAUGUGAAAGCCCCGGGCUCAACCUGGGAACUGCAUUUCGAACUGGCAGACUAGAGUGUGAUAGAGGGUGGUAGAAUUUCAGGUGUAGCGGUGAAAUGCGUAGAGAUCUGAAGGAAUACCGAUGGCGAAGGCAGCCACCUGGGUCAACACUGACGCUCAUGUACGAAAGCGUGGGGAGCAAACGGGAUUAGAUACCCCGGUAGUCCACGCCGUAAACGAUGUCUACUAGAAGCUGGGGUCUUCGGACAACUUUUUCAAAGCUAACGCAUUAAGUAGACCGCCUGGGGAGUACGGCCGCAAGGUUAAAACUCA
RNAcentral lists this ribosomal RNA (532 nucleotides) under Pseudoalteromonas sp. RNAcentral describes it as "bacterial SSU rRNA". It matches the Rfam family "Bacterial small subunit ribosomal RNA", at positions 378 to 903 of the family's 1533-position model. The record is from RNAcentral. Lineage: Bacteria; Pseudomonadati; Pseudomonadota; Gammaproteobacteria; Alteromonadales; Pseudoalteromonadaceae.